AUUGAACGCUGGCGGCAGGCCUAACACAUGCAAGUCGAGCGGAUGAAGGGAGCUUGCUCCUGGAUUCAGCGGCGGACGGGUGAGUAAUGCCUAGGAAUCUGCCUGGUAGUGGGGGAUAACGUCCGGAAACGGGCGCUAAUACCGCAUACGUCCUGAGGGAGAAAGUGGGGGAUCUUCGGACCUCACGCUAUCAGAUGAGCCUAGGUCGGAUUAGCUAGUUGGUGGGGUAAAGGCCUACCAAGGCGACGAUCCGUAACUGGUCUGAGAGGAUGACCAGUCACACUGGAACUGAGACACGGUCCAGACUCCUACGGGAGGCAGCAGUGGGGAAUAUUGGACAAUGGGCGAAAGCCUGAUCCAGCCAUGCCGCGUGUGUGAAGAAGGUCUUCGGAUCGUAAAGCACUUUAAGUUGGGAGGAAGGGCAGUAAGUUAAUACCUUGCUGUUUUGACGUUACCAACAGAAUAAGCACCGGCUAACUUCGUG
Molecule: ribosomal RNA, 484 nt
Filed under: uncultured bacterium
Lineage: Bacteria
Description: partial 16S ribosomal RNA
Rfam family: Bacterial small subunit ribosomal RNA
Source: RNAcentral